This is an RNA transcript of Arabidopsis thaliana (thale cress), 866 nucleotides long. RefSeq lists it as uncharacterized. The record is from RefSeq. NCBI's taxonomy places the organism in Eukaryota, Viridiplantae, Streptophyta, Magnoliopsida, Brassicales, Brassicaceae. The transcript has a single exon.
CUUACCGUGAGCCAUUAAAGUAUUUGAGAGCAACUUCAUCGCGAGUUUUUUUAACAAGGGUUCUCACAAUUUCACAAAAGCGGCAUUCUAAAGAGGGCAAAACCGCUGUUUGUUUGGAUCCCCAUUUCGAAUUGGGCUGGGCAGCCUUUGGCCCACUAAUAAAUUUACCACGGCCUAAAGCUAAUGCUAAUGGGUAGGCCUAUUUACCAAUUUGGUCCAGGUCUGUUUUUCUUUCUUCCUUGUCAAACACUAGAUAUCUGAUGGCAGGGUUAUGGUUUUGAGAUUGGUCGUGGACUCCUUUCUCUCAUCACGUUGACACCUAUAGAUAGUCUAGACAAGGUGCUUUUAUUAACCUUGGUGGUAGAUCUUAGUGCCUUAAAGAGCAGCUCAUACUAUUCAUAUAAGUCUAAGAAUUUUAUGAUAGAAUCAUCCUCUUUUAUAGAGAGAACUUUUGAAUCAUCCUCUUUUAUAGAACGAACUUUUGGUUUGUCUCCGACUUUAAGUUUGCAAAACCAUUUGGAUACCUUAAUCACCUUUGUAGAAGCUGCGUGUUUCGAGCCAUUGUUAUCCAAGGUUAAAGACUCUUUAUCAACGUCACUAUGUCUCGUUUGGACCGUGACCAUUCAACAAUCUCCCAAAAUAUUCGUGUAAUUGUCUUCGACUCACCAUUCUCUCGCUUGUAGCAAGUUACUACAUUGUUCUUGUCUUCGAUGUAUGGAUCUACCGUCAAAUUAUCUUAUAUCAUUUUCCUUUACCAUUCUCUUGUGAGAGAACUUGUGGUUUUCUUUGAUGUUUCCAACCAUGAGGUUGAUGUUUGUUUAAAAUUUGUACUACAUAUGGGUUAAGUUUGAAUGAAAUUAUCUUUU